GGCUUCCAGGACCCGUGUGCACUUCACCCUCUAGCAGGAUGAACUCUUGGAUUCCUGAUCCGGAGUCCUCCCUGGGGUACGAGUUUGCCUCCUUCCUCCUGGCAGCUGAGGCUGAGCGAGGAGGCCACAUAAGCUUGUGAACCCCUUCAGCCCAGCUGAGCCAGGGACACGCGCCUCUAUGGGCAGAGGGGAAACUGAGGCCCAGCACAGAAGCGGAUCUAAUUCCCCUUGGACAUUGGCACCAUGCCUGCCCACCGUGCUAUGGCUAGAUGGAGACAGUCCUUGCUCAGCUCUUCCCACCCCUAUGCCUUGGCGUAUGGAUUUCUGUUUGCUUUCAUUAUUUUCUCCUUCAACUUCAGAACUCCUAUUCAACCUCUGAAACCCAGCUCAAAUGCCACCUCCUCUGACGGAGCAUGGAGUCUCACUCGGUUGCCCAGGCUGGAGUG
This is a long non-coding RNA of Macaca mulatta (Rhesus monkey), 446 nucleotides long. RefSeq lists it as uncharacterized. The record is from RefSeq and is a predicted model, not a curated record. NCBI's taxonomy places the organism in Eukaryota, Metazoa, Chordata, Mammalia, Primates, Cercopithecidae.